UACGUAGGGUGCAAGCGUUGUCCGGAAUUAUUGGGCGUAAAGAGCUCGUAGGUGGCCUGUCGCGUCGGCUGUGAAAACUCGGGGCUCAACUCCGAGCUUGCAGUCGAUACGGGCAGGCUAGAGUUCGGCAGGGGAGACUGGAAUUCCUGGUGUAGCGGUGAAAUGCGCAGAUAUCAGGAGGAACACCGAUGGCGAAGGCAGUUCUCUGGGCCGUAACUGACGCUGAGGAGCGAAAGCGUGGGGAGCGAACAGG
Molecule: ribosomal RNA, 253 nt
Filed under: uncultured bacterium
Lineage: Bacteria
Description: partial 16S ribosomal RNA
Rfam family: Bacterial small subunit ribosomal RNA
Source: RNAcentral